AAAGUUAAAAGGUUUUAUUUCGUAUCACAUAAACAAUAUUUUUCUUCUAGAAACAUUUAUAAAAUACUCCCAGAGGAUAAAGUAUCACUAUUCUUAAUUAUCGAAAUAGGAUAGAGGACAUAACAAUCUUCCUUACGUGCUAGUUUAAUUGACAUCUUAUUUCAAAAUCACAGUCAAAUAUGGUUUUUAUUGCUUAUUAUUAAUUCUCUUGUCGAUGAAAGGCCCUGCAACAAUUUCUUGUUGAGUUCAGGCAAAUAGCUACAUUACAGUCAGA
Molecule: unclassified non-coding RNA, 274 nt
Filed under: Melitaea cinxia (Glanville fritillary)
Lineage: Eukaryota; Metazoa; Arthropoda; Insecta; Lepidoptera; Nymphalidae
Description: misc RNA ENSMCXG00005010875.1
Source: RNAcentral